GUGGGUAGUUCUGGAAAGAGAUAUUUCUGUAUACAGUAUCUCUUUCUGUCUAUGUUUGAAACAAACUGUAGUAAACGUAAAGGAUUUACAGUAUGUUACAGUUUUUAUGAACACACUGGUGGUCAGACUGGUCACUGGUUGUUAAUAAUUUCCUUACUAAAUCAAUAAUAUCGCUAAGUCACUCACAUCAACGUAUACAUACCACAUUUAUGAGAUCUUAUCUGAAUGUGUUUUUCUUUAUUUACUUAACCAUAUAAUCAGCAAAUAUAAAUAAUCAUUCAAUAUAGUCUCAGUUUUAUAUAUUUAUUGUUAGAAUUUCUUUUUUUUAUUUUUUUGGGGGGGAGAGGGGGAGGGGAAGCACUGAACAAAACUCUUAUUAUCAUUGAUUAUUGGUCCAUGGGAUCAAAAUGAUAAAUAAAAAAUGCCAAGUUAGAUACUUUAUAUACAUUUAACUUGGCAUAGCUACAAUUCAGCAUUAGGUUGUACAAGCCACCAGAUGAAACCAUCUGACACAGAGAACAUCAAGACUGCGUAAUGUAUGCAGUGCAGCCGCAAUAUGCAGAUUCAGGCAUUCAGAAAAGUCUGUUUUGUUUGGUAGAAAGGCGAUAGUUUUAUCCUGUGUUAUUCUUUAGUGUGGCCCAAGUGAAAUUCAUCCAGCAGAGCAGUCAAAGCAUGAGCUCACUUAUGCCACUAGAAAUGGGCUCAGGCAAAAGCAUGAUGAGAGUUGUGGUUCAUAUCUCUUUGGGAUCCUCCCCGUUUCUGCACUUCACGCAUGUCCACAUAUUCGGUGUUGUCUAGAUUACGCCAGUUUACAUUCCUCUGAAACAGUAAAAUCAUUUGUAUAUGAAGUACUGGUGUACCAGACCGACAACAUAGACGUAUUGCAUUACUGGCACAAAUACGGUGUUGGCCCAACAGAGGAAAGAACUUACCUGCAUUGGGACAUAGGUCAGUGUGUCAGAAGACUCGGGAUUCAUGGCCUGGAGAGGAAAACAAAAACGGCACAAUAUAUAAAUGCAUAUCAGCUCAACUGCAGGAUAUACAUGUAACUGUAUUAGACUUAGAAUAAUCAAACAUAGCUGAUGCCUAUAUUACAUUGUGAUUCCAUUAAGCUUUAUCUAUACUUAAAGAAUUAAAAAAAAAAAAAAUUAUAAGAAAAUUAGCUAAAAAUUUAUUCACUCUCAAGCCAGUGAAGGUGUAGAUGAGUUUGUUUUUCAUCAGAGACAAUUUUGCAUUACAUUGUUUGUUCACCAAUUGAUCCUCUGCAGUGAAAGGGUGCCGUCAGAAUGAGAGUCCAAAUAGCUGAUAGAAAUGACACAAUAACCCACACGACUCCAGUCCAUCAAUUAAUGUUUUAUGAAGCUGUGUGUUUGUAAGAAACAAAUCCAUUGUUGAGGCGAUUAACUUUAAACUCUUUCUAGUGGCCAAAAUAAUCCAUAAGAACUUUGCGGUGCUUGAUCUGUGCAUAUUUCUCUCCUGAUUGAGAGAACUAGGGCAAGCAAUACUAGGAUAGAGGACUACUUUAGCUGAAAGCAACUGUUUGAAGUUAAAAUGAUGGAUUGUUGUUUUUUUUAAACACACAGCUUCUCACUUCACAAGACAUUUACUGAGGGACUAGAGUCAUGUUGAUUACUUGUGAUGUUUUUUAAUCAGGACUUUCAUUUAGAUGGCACCCAUUCACUGCAGAGGAUCCACUGGUGAGCAUGUGAUAUUAUGCUAAAAUUUCUCCAAAUCUGUUCUGAUGAAGAAACAAACUCAUUUACAUCUUUGAAUGGCCUGAGGGUGAAAAUUUUCAUUUUUGGGUUAACUAUUCCUUAAAAAAAAAAGGUUUUCAAAGAUACUAAGUAAAGUUGACAAUUUUAUUAAACCCCCAAUAAACAGCAGAUGCUAAUGCUAAGAAGUAGUGCUUGCACACAAAAGACAGCAUGGAAAGCGUAAAACAGCAAUAAGUUAUUAUUUAUUAAGUGGUGCUUGCUUUAUAAAAGCAGUAAUGUCCUUGAGGC
Cyprinus carpio carpio is the source of this 2003-nucleotide long non-coding RNA. The record is from Ensembl. NCBI's taxonomy places the organism in Eukaryota, Metazoa, Chordata, Actinopteri, Cypriniformes, Cyprinidae.